This is a long non-coding RNA of Drosophila nasuta, 442 nucleotides long. RefSeq lists it as uncharacterized. The transcript has 2 exons. The record is from RefSeq and is a predicted model, not a curated record. NCBI's taxonomy places the organism in Eukaryota, Metazoa, Arthropoda, Insecta, Diptera, Drosophilidae.
GCUGGAAGAAAAAUGGUUGGCAGGUUAUGUGCCGAACCUGAAAAAAUGUGUACAAGUGCAUGUGACUAAAAAGUAUAUAUCUCAGUGAAGUGGUUGGCGAAGCCUGAUGCAGAUAUCUUACUUUGCACCUUUGCCGUCAACCCAACACAUGCAAUAGAUGGUUGUCCACUGCAGAAGUUUGUCCUCCCAUACCAAGUGCCGUUUUCCAGAAUAGGGUAAAUAUUUGUUGAACGUAUGUUUAGUUUUUCGUUGUUCUAAGUUUAGUUUUGUCUAUUUAUUUUUAGAUUCGGCACUUAGUCAUAUUUUAUAUAAAACCUGGUAUUAAACUGACUCUAAUGACCCAGUCAUAUUUUAUAUAAACCCAGCCAUAAUUUAUAUAAUAACCCAGUUAUAAGUUAUAUAAAAAAACCCGUGUGUAAAUUAGAAAUCAUUUAAAAUGAAA